RNAcentral lists this ribosomal RNA (440 nucleotides) under uncultured bacterium. RNAcentral describes it as "bacterial SSU rRNA". It matches the Rfam family "Bacterial small subunit ribosomal RNA", at positions 957 to 1391 of the family's 1533-position model. The record is from RNAcentral.
GAACGCGAAGAACCUUACCAAGUCUUGACAUACUGUGAGGACACAAGAGAUUGUGUUGUUCUGACCUUUGGUUAGACACAGAUACAGGUGGUGCAUGGUUGUCGUCAGCUCGUGUCGUGAGAUGUUGGGUUAAGUCCCGCAACGAGCGCAACCCUUAUAUCUAGUUGCCAGCAGUAAGAUGGGGACUCUAGAUAGACUGCCAGUGAUAAACUGGAGGAAGGUGGGGAUGACGUCAAAUCAUCAUGCCCCUUAUGACUUGGGCUACACACGUGCUACAAUGGAUAGGAACAAAGAGAAGCGAGCUCGCGAGAGUAAGCAAACCUCACAAAACUAUUCUCAGUUCGGAUUGUGGUCUGCAACUCGACUACAUGAAGCUGGAAUCGCUAGUAAUCGCGAAUCAGAAUGUCGCGGUGAAUACGUUCCCGGGUCUUGUACACACC